RNAcentral lists this long non-coding RNA (616 nucleotides) under Homo sapiens (human). RNAcentral describes it as "novel transcript". The record is from RNAcentral. Lineage: Eukaryota; Metazoa; Chordata; Mammalia; Primates; Hominidae.
GCUUCCUAGGAGAUAGUGUUACCUUCACUGCAUAGCAGUAUAUAAACACGUAGGUCUUCGGUAACAACAAUCUUUCUUAUCUUUGUCUAGAAUACUGGACAUCUCUCACAUGUUAUUUAUAUUUCUUAGAAGAUGAAGUCUAUUUCAUUCAGCUUUGCUGCUUUGUUGCAGCUUUUUUCUUUUUUCCUACGAUCUCCAGGUUCAUUUUUCAAGCCACUUGGUCAAAUUAGGUGGUCUCUAGGCUGUGGAUCCCUCCUGUAAACCAAGAAAAAUGGAAAUGUGGCCUUUGUUUGACAAAGGCCUUUCUUCUGCUUCCCAGGUAUCAUCAGAUCCCCUUGUGACUCAGGCGAGUCAGGCUACAGAGGGCAGCUGCGCUCUGCUGGGGGCUCGGCUGUGGAGCAGGAAGAGGCCCAUGAACUCUGCUCUCCUCUUGCUUGGCGCACUGGCCUGACCUGCACUCAGCGGCCACAACCUUCCAUUACAGCUUCCUCGGGGCCCAGAUAUUGUUCUCAUAGCUUCAGGCUGUCUUUCCACACCCAUGUUGCGUUUCUGAAGCUCAGUGCGGGUCACUCAAAGGCAGUGCCCUGCCAAGCCUCUCAGUGAAUCAGGAAAUACC